UUCAGUCAUUUUGUAUUAUGCAUGGGAAAUUGAUACCUUUUUAACUUUUUUUUUCAGAAAGCGGUAUCAAUUUCCCGUGCAUAAUACAAAAUGACUGAU
Paramuricea clavata is the source of this 99-nucleotide non-coding RNA. The record is from the annotation of a GenBank genome assembly. Lineage: Eukaryota; Metazoa; Cnidaria; Anthozoa; Malacalcyonacea; Plexauridae.